GAUGAACGCUAGCGGCAGGCCUAAUACGUGCAAGUCGGACGGGAUUCAGGAGCUUGCUUCUGAUGAGAGUGGCGCACGGGUGCGUAACACGUAUGUAACCUACCUUUAUCAGGGGGAUAGCCUCUCGAAAGAGAGAUUAAGCCCGCAUAAAAUCACAGCACAGCAUUGUGUAAUGAUCAAAUAUUUAUAGGAUAAAGAUGGGCAUGCGGAACAUUAGCUAGAUGGCGGGGUAACGGCCCACCAUGGCGACGAUGUUUAGGGGAUCUGAGAGGAUGGCCCCCCACACUGGUACUGAGACACGGACCAGACUCCUACGGGAGGCAGCAGUAAGGAAUAUUGGUCAAUGGGCGGAAGCCUGAACCAGCCAUGCCGCGUGCAGGAAGACGGCCCUACGGGUUGUAAACUGCUUUUAUACGGGAAUAAACCCAGAUACGUGUAUCUGGCUGAAUGUACUGUAAGAAUAAGGAUCGGCUAACUCCGUG
Molecule: ribosomal RNA, 482 nt
Filed under: uncultured bacterium
Lineage: Bacteria
Description: partial 16S ribosomal RNA
Rfam family: Bacterial small subunit ribosomal RNA
Source: RNAcentral